Desmophyllum pertusum is the source of this 79-nucleotide non-coding RNA. Lineage: Eukaryota; Metazoa; Cnidaria; Anthozoa; Scleractinia; Caryophylliidae. The record is from the annotation of a GenBank genome assembly.
UCUCCUAUACAUGUAGCUCAGUGGUAGAGCAUCCAAACUAGUAAUCGUAAGAUCAUAGGUUCGACUCCUGUUGCGAGAA